RNAcentral lists this ribosomal RNA (253 nucleotides) under uncultured bacterium. Its description in RNAcentral is "partial 16S ribosomal RNA". It matches the Rfam family "Bacterial small subunit ribosomal RNA", at positions 524 to 776 of the family's 1533-position model. The record is from RNAcentral.
UACGUAGGGGGCAAGCGUUGUCCGGAUUUAUUGGGUGUAAAGGGCGCGUAGGCGGUCUUUUAAGUCAGUGCUGAAAUACUCCAGCUUAACUGGAGGGGUGGCAUUGAUACUGGAAGACUUGAGUGCAGUCGAGGUAGGCGGAAUUGACGGUGUAGCGGUGAAAUGCUUAGAUAUCGUCAAGAACACCGAUAGUGAAGACAGCUUACUAGGAUAAAACUGACGCUGAGGCACGAAAGUGUGGGGAUCAAACAGG